Molecule: long non-coding RNA, 257 nt
Filed under: Chinchilla lanigera (long-tailed chinchilla)
Lineage: Eukaryota; Metazoa; Chordata; Mammalia; Rodentia; Chinchillidae
Description: lncRNA (ENSCLAG00000025129.1)
Source: RNAcentral
UGAGAAUUAGCAUUAUUACAGGUCCCCAAGUGACACUGCUGCUGAUGAUGUGGCAACAACAUUUUAGGAUCUCCUUUCUAGUGAAGUAGCUCAGCUGCUUUAAUGUAUGACCUAUGAUUAUGGAGGAGAGAAUGUUCUUGGGUGCUUUCAAUCUGUCUUGACCCUAAUCAGUGAUUUUCUUUGGUAAGUUUCCACCCUACCUUGGAGGGAGCUCAGAAGUAAAAUCCACCCAGCUGAUACAAAGAAAAGUGAGUUAA